RNAcentral lists this ribosomal RNA (1497 nucleotides) under metagenome. Its description in RNAcentral is "bacterial SSU rRNA". It matches the Rfam family "Bacterial small subunit ribosomal RNA". The record is from RNAcentral.
AGAGUUUGAUCCUGGCUCAGAAUCAACGCUGGCGGCGUGCCUAACACAUGCAAGUCGAACGAGAAAGUGGGGCUUGCUCCACGAGUAAAGUGGCAGACGGGUGAGUAACACGUGAACAAUCUACCCUCGAGUGGGGAAUAACACCGCGAAAGCGGUGCUAAUACCGCAUAACAUCUCCGGGUUGCAUGAUCUGGAGAUCAAAAGCGCAAGUUGCUUGAGGAGGAGUUCGCGCCUGAUUAGCUUGUUGGUGAGGUAACGGCUCACCAAGGCAACGAUCAGUAGCCGGCCUGAGAGGGCGAACGGCCACACUGGAACUGAGACACGGUCCAGACUCCUACGGGAGGCAGCAGUGGGGAAUUUUGCGCAAUGGGCGAAAGCCUGACGCAGCAACGCCGCGUGGAGGAUGAAGGCCCUCGGGUCGUAAACUCCUGUCAGUGGGGACGAAUGCCUCGCAAGAGGUUUGACUGUACCCAUUGAGGAAGCCACGGCUAACUCCGUGCCAGCAGCCGCGGUAAUACGGAGGUGGCAAGCGUUGUUCGGAAUUACUGGGCGUAAAGGGCGCGUAGGCGGCUUGGCAAGUCAGAUGUGAAAGCCCCGGGCUUAACCCGGGGAAUUGCAUCUGAAACUGCUGAGCUUGAGUCCUGGAGGGGAUAGGGGAAUUCCCAGUGUAGCGGUGGAAUGCGUAGAUAUUGGGAGGAACACCUGCGGCGAAGGCGGCUAUCUGGACAGUGACUGACGCUGAUGCGCGAAAGCUAGGGGAGCGAACGGGAUUAGAUACCCCGGUAGUCCUAGCCGUAAACGAUGGGCACUUGGUGUUGGGGGUAUUGAGUCCCUCGGUGCCGGAGUUAACACGUUAAGUGCCCCGCCUGGGGAGUACGGUCGCAAGACUGAAACUCAAAGGAAUUGACGGGGGCCCGCACAAGCGGUGGAGCAUGUGGUUCAAUUCGACGCAACGCGAAGAACCUUACCGGGGCUUGAACUGUAACUGAAACUCGUAGAAACACGAGAUUCUCUUCGGAGACGGUUAUAGAGGUGCUGCAUGGCUGUCGUCAGCUCGUGUCGUGAGAUGUUGGGUUAAGUCCCGCAACGAGCGCAACCCUUGCCCUUAGUUGCCAUCAGGUUAUGCUGGGAACCCUAAGGGAACUGUCGGCGAAAAGCCGGAGGAAGGUGGGGAUGACGUCAAGUCCUCAUGGCCCUUACGUCCCGGGCUACACACGUGCUACAAUGGCUGGUACAAAGGGUCGCCAACCCGCGAGGGGGAGCUAAUCCCAAAAAAAACCAGUCCCAGUUCGGAUUGCAGUCUGCAACUCGACUGCAUGAAGUUGGAAUCGCUAGUAAUCGCAGAUCAGCACGCUGCGGUGAAUACGUUCCCGGGCCUUGUACACACCGCCCGUCACAUCACGAAAGUGGGUUGUACUAGAAAUCGCUGAGCUAACCCGCAAGGGGAGUAGGUGCUUAAGGUAUGAUCCAUGAUUGGGGUGAAGUCGUAACAAGGUA